UACGUAGGUGGCAAGCGUUGUCCGGAUUUAUUGGGCGUAAAGCGAGCGCAGGCGGAAAGAUAAGUCUGAUGUGAAAGCCCCCGGCUUAACCGAGGAAUUGCAUCGGAAACUGUGUUUCUUGAGUGCAGAAGAGGAGAGUGGAACUCCAUGUGUAGCGGUGGAAUGCGUAGAUAUAUGGAAGAACACCAGUGGCGAAGGCGGCUCUCUGGUCUGUAACUGACGCUGAGGCUCGAAAGCAUGGGUAGCGA
This 248-nucleotide ribosomal RNA is filed under the name uncultured Lactobacillus sp. Its description in RNAcentral is "partial 16S ribosomal RNA". It matches the Rfam family "Bacterial small subunit ribosomal RNA", at positions 524 to 771 of the family's 1533-position model. The record is from RNAcentral. Lineage: Bacteria; Bacillati; Bacillota; Bacilli; Lactobacillales; Lactobacillaceae.